This is a long non-coding RNA of Alosa sapidissima (American shad), 428 nucleotides long. RefSeq lists it as uncharacterized. The transcript is spliced from 3 exons. The record is from RefSeq and is a predicted model, not a curated record. NCBI's taxonomy places the organism in Eukaryota, Metazoa, Chordata, Actinopteri, Clupeiformes, Clupeidae.
UCUCGAGGCUCUGCUUUUGUUUGACUUGGUGGCUGUUUAGUUAUACUAGUGCCUUUUUGUGUAUACAGCGUCCUUGUGGAUCCUUCCCCAUCUCUGUAGCUGGCGUCGCUUCGCAGCUGGUAGUUGCUGCUACUUUCACCCUAGUGCUUUUGCCCUCUGCAGUGCAAACUUGCUGGAGCUGAGGCCUGCAGUGGAGGGUCUGCUAUCUUCCUGGUGGUGUUCCCCUUCUGGUGUGCUACUUACAUCACGGGUGUUUCAGACUUGACCUGGCGUGUGUGUGUGUGUGUGCGCGUGGACACUUUUGCAGUGGUGUGACCUUCUCCUGGACGCCCCCUCACUAGUUAGCCGGUCCCCUCACUGGUAAGCCUCAGUUCCUGUUGUCUGUCGCCCCCCUUUGUGUGUGUGUGGUGUGCUUGAGCUACAUCAGC